GUUGUGGUUCAGUGGUAGAGCACUCGCCUAGCAUGUGUGAGGCACUAUGUUCAAUCCCCGGCACCACA
This 68-nucleotide transfer RNA is filed under the name Marmota monax (woodchuck). Its description in RNAcentral is "tRNA.Ala". The record is from RNAcentral. Lineage: Eukaryota; Metazoa; Chordata; Mammalia; Rodentia; Sciuridae.